RNAcentral lists this small nuclear RNA (23 nucleotides) under Arabidopsis thaliana (thale cress). Its description in RNAcentral is "snRNA_17133". Lineage: Eukaryota; Viridiplantae; Streptophyta; Magnoliopsida; Brassicales; Brassicaceae. The record is from RNAcentral.
AGUCGUGCAAAACGUUUAAUAAG